ACAGACGAGGAGCUUGCUCCUCUGACGUUAGCGGCGGACGGGUGAGUAACACGUGGAUAACCUACCUAUAAGACUGGGAUAACUUCGGGAAACCGGAGCUAAUACCGGAUAAUAUAUUGAACCGCAUGGUUCAAUAGUGAAAGACGGUUUUGCUGUCACUUAUAGAUGGAUCCGCGCCGCAUUAGCUAGUUGGUAAGGUAACGGCUUACCAAGGCAACGAUGCGUAGCCGACCUGAGAGGGUGAUCGGCCACACUGGAAUUGAGACACGGUCCAGACUCCCACGGGAGGCAGCAGUAGGGAAUCUUCCGCAAUGGGCGAAAGCCUGACGGAGCAACGCCGCGUGAGUGAUGAAGGUCUUCGGAUCGUAAAACUCUGUUAUUAGGGAAGAACAAAUGUGUAGGUAACUAUGCACGUCUUGACGGUACCUGAUCAGAAAGCCACGGCUAACUACGUGCCAGCAGCCGCGGUAAUACGUAGGUGGCAAGCGUUAUCCGGAAUUAUUGGGCGUAAAGCGCGCGUAGGCGGUUUUUUAAGUCUGAUGUGAAAGCCCACGGCUCAACCGUGGAGGGUCAUUGGAAACUGGAAAACUUGAGUGCAGAAGAGGAAAGUGGAAUUCCAUGUGUAGCGGUGAAAUGCGCAGAGAUAUGGAGGAACA
This 656-nucleotide ribosomal RNA is filed under the name uncultured Staphylococcus sp. RNAcentral's name for it is "bacterial SSU rRNA". It matches the Rfam family "Bacterial small subunit ribosomal RNA", at positions 69 to 708 of the family's 1533-position model. The record is from RNAcentral. Lineage: Bacteria; Bacillati; Bacillota; Bacilli; Caryophanales; Staphylococcaceae.